This 460-nucleotide ribosomal RNA is filed under the name Funneliformis mosseae. RNAcentral describes it as "LSU rRNA". It matches the Rfam family "Eukaryotic large subunit ribosomal RNA", at positions 358 to 668 of the family's 3401-position model. Lineage: Eukaryota; Fungi; Glomeromycota; Glomeromycetes; Glomerales; Glomeraceae. The record is from RNAcentral.
GGAAAGAUGAAAAGAACUUUGAAAAGAGAGUUAAACAGUACGUGAGAUUGUUGAAAGGGAAACGAUUGAAGUCAGUCAUACCAACGGGAAAUCAACCUUUUGAGCUUUGUCUCGUGGGUUCGAAGAGUUUAAACGCCUUCGGGUUCGCGAGAUUGGGAUCUUCUGGUGUACUUUCUCGUACGGUUAGUCAACAUCGGUUUUGAAUGUCAUAAAAUGACUGGAGGAAUGUAGCUUCGAUCUCGUAUCGAAGUGUUAUAGCCUUUGGUAGAUGUGAUGUUUGAGACCGAGGAUUGCAACGGAUACCCUUCAUGGGCUAUUCGUCUGAUCUCUGAUACGUUGCCUUGACGUUGAAAGCUUGCUUAUGAUGUUAGGGUAUUACGGUCAAAAGGUUAGAACGGAUUAAAUCCGUUAAGGAUGUUGACGUAAUGACUUUAAACGACCCGUCUUGAAACACGGACCA